GUUGCAAUGUCUCUCUUGACAUGUUUUGGAGCUUACAGACGGCGUUUAAAGCGGUGUGGUCAUUAUUAGCACGUCCUGGGGCGGCAGUAGCCUGCUUAUCAGACUGAACUGCCAUUUCCUUUUUACUUCACUUGAGUUUCAGAACAAACAGGAGGUCUGGAAGCAAGCUCGGGCAGCAGUAUCAGUGCCCUUACCUGGAACAAUAUCGAAAGUAUGGCUACAUAAGCAGGCAAGCAUGGAGGCGACUGUAUCUGCAGUGGUACAGAGGGUCAUCUCCAGUCGUAAGGUGCUUUCUGAUCCCUGGCUCCCUGUGCCAGAAUUUUAAACGACAGAGUAAGACCUCCACCUGCUCUCUGAAAAAGCUGGUGGUCAAGGUGUACAGGAUGGGGUUCAAGGCGCUGUUGAUGGGAAGGAUGAAGAUGACCACCCAGCUGGAGAUGGUAUCUCCACCUCCAGCAGUGAGAGGAUUUUCACCAUAAAUAUGGGAAUCCAGCAGAGGGCAUCAGAGAACACGAUGAAGAAAAAUCUGUUGGCCACAGCCACAUCUCUGUGCAGUCUGCUCCUCAAGUCC
Molecule: long non-coding RNA, 571 nt
Organism: Epinephelus moara (kelp grouper)
Lineage: Eukaryota; Metazoa; Chordata; Actinopteri; Perciformes; Serranidae
Exons: 4
Source: RefSeq, a predicted model, not a curated record